This 247-nucleotide ribosomal RNA is filed under the name uncultured prokaryote. RNAcentral describes it as "partial 16S ribosomal RNA". It matches the Rfam family "Bacterial small subunit ribosomal RNA", at positions 526 to 772 of the family's 1533-position model. The record is from RNAcentral.
CGGAGGAUGCAAGCGUUAUCCGGAUUUAUUGGGUUUAAAGGGUGCGCAGGUUGUUUGAUAAGUCAGUGGUGAAAGUCUGUCGCUUAACGGUAGGAUUGCCAUUGAUACUGUUAGACUUGAAUAUGGAUGAGGUAGGCGGAAUGUGUAGUGUAGCGGUGAAAUGCAUAGAUAUUACACAGAACACCGAUUGCGAAGGCAGCUUACUAAUCCAUCAUUGACGCUGAGGCACGAAAGCGUGGGGAUCAAA